GACGAACGCAGGCGGCGUGCUUAACACAUGCAAGUCGAGCGGAAAGGCCCUUUCGGGGGUACUCGAGCGGCGAACGGGUGAGUAACACGUGAGUAAUCUGCCCUUGGCUUUGGGAUAACCGCCGGAAACGGUGGCUAAUACCGGAUCCGACCACUCCCCGCAGCGGGUGGUGGUGGAAAGUUUUUUCGUCCAGGGAUGUGCUCGCGGCCUAUCAGCUUGUUGGUGGGGUAAUGGCCGAACAAGGCUUCGACGGGUAGCCGGCCUGAGAGGGGGACCGGCCACACUGGGACUGAGACACGGCCCAGACUCCUACGGGAGGCAGCAGUGGGGAAUAUUGGACAAUGGGCGGAAGCCUGAUCCAGCAACGCCGCGUGAGGGAUGACGGCCUUCGGGUUGUAAACCUCUUUCAGUACCGACGAAGCGCCGAUGAUGGCGGUGACGGUAGGUACAGAAGAAGCACCGGCCAACUACGUGCCAGCCGCCGCAGUAA
This 490-nucleotide ribosomal RNA is filed under the name uncultured bacterium. RNAcentral describes it as "partial 16S ribosomal RNA". It matches the Rfam family "Bacterial small subunit ribosomal RNA", at positions 28 to 523 of the family's 1533-position model. The record is from RNAcentral.